Molecule: long non-coding RNA, 286 nt
Organism: Dioscorea cayenensis subsp. rotundata (Guinea yam)
Lineage: Eukaryota; Viridiplantae; Streptophyta; Magnoliopsida; Dioscoreales; Dioscoreaceae
Exons: 2
Source: RefSeq, a predicted model, not a curated record
UUAUGAUGGGAUGCUGGCUCAAUCGAAAAACAUGCGAAGGCAAGCUGGAGGCGGCACCCAAGCAGCUCCAUCUGGAUUUAGAUAGGCACAGGAGUGAAAUGCCCAAAUAGAAUUCAGCCAUUGGCACUGUGUUAACAUGUUUAUCAAUCAAGCUAAAGUAGAAGAAUGAAUAUCAUUCUGGUACUUAUGAGCUUUUUCUAAAUACUUUCAUAAUGUUAUUACACUGGAUCUAGAUGUUGAAAGAACAGCCAUGUUAAAUACAAUGCAAGAUUUUGAAUUUCCUAAA